GGCCCUUUGGCCCAAUGGUAAGGCGUCUGACUACGACCAAACAUGGUAAAACGUGCUGAAGAAGUAAUCAGGAGAUUCUGGGUUCGAGCCCCAGGAGGGUCA
Molecule: non-coding RNA, 102 nt
Organism: Hypoxylon sp. FL1150
Lineage: Eukaryota; Fungi; Ascomycota; Sordariomycetes; Xylariales; Hypoxylaceae
Source: the annotation of a GenBank genome assembly